CUCGGAUAUUUAAUUACAAAAUAUUUAGAAAAUAAUAAUGAAAUAGAAAAAUUUGAAAAAAUUUAGACACCAAUGAUGUUUUGAUGUAGUAAUUAUUGUUAAAAUUAAAGAUACAGAAAUUGAAACAACAAGAGCAAGCUAAAAGAGACGUCCUAACUCCCAAAUACCUGGUGAGGUAGACACUUCGCUUGGAGUUGGGCCUGAUAUUGGACCUGGCAC
This 219-nucleotide unclassified non-coding RNA is filed under the name Hevea brasiliensis (rubber tree). The record is from RNAcentral. Lineage: Eukaryota; Viridiplantae; Streptophyta; Magnoliopsida; Malpighiales; Euphorbiaceae.